CGUGCUCGAAGAGAGCCGUAACACAGGUGCUGCAUGGCUGUCGUCAGCUCGUGUCGUGAGAUGUUGGUUAAGUCCCGCAACGAGCGCAACCCUUGUCAUUAGUUGCUACGAAAGGGCACUCUAAUGAGACUGCCGGUGGACAAACCGGAGGAAGGUGGGGAUGACGUCAAGUCCUCAUGGCCCUUACAUCCCGGGCUACACACGUGCUACAAUGGCAGGUACAGAGGGCUGCAAAGCCGCGAGGUAGAGCGAAUCCCAGAAAACCUGUCUCAGUCCGGAUUGAAGUCUGCAACUCGACUUCAUGAAGGCGGAAUCGCUAGUAACCGCGAAUCAGCAGGUCGCGGUGAAUACGUUCCCGGGCCUU
This 364-nucleotide ribosomal RNA is filed under the name uncultured Latescibacterota bacterium. Its description in RNAcentral is "bacterial SSU rRNA". It matches the Rfam family "Bacterial small subunit ribosomal RNA", at positions 1012 to 1382 of the family's 1533-position model. Lineage: Bacteria; Pseudomonadati; Candidatus Latescibacterota. The record is from RNAcentral.